Molecule: non-coding RNA, 1328 nt
Organism: Malus domestica (apple)
Lineage: Eukaryota; Viridiplantae; Streptophyta; Magnoliopsida; Rosales; Rosaceae
Source: RefSeq, a predicted model, not a curated record
AACCGUUGAUUGUUUUGGAUUUAAUCUGUGCCGUCGAUUUGUUUUUAGGUCAGAUGAUAACAUUUCACUUUUGUAUUCCUCGUUCAUUUGUUUCGAAGCGCAGCCGUGAGCCUCCGACCCUCACCAACGUCGUCCCUGUUUUGCUGCAGUUGGAUCUCUCUCAAGUUUUGCUGCAGGCAAAGCUGUGUGUGGAUGAAAACAUCCAUGUUAUUCCUACUGAAACAUGUGUGCCUCUUUGUAGCUUUGGUGUUUAAGGAGUUGCUGUCUUUGUUAUUUUAUCGGGUUGGAAAUUUUUGGCAAUCUUUGCUGUUAUUGAAAAUCAGAGUGCCUGCACUUGCCUAUAAACAUGGUUUAAUCUGCAGAGUUUCGGUGAAAGUUAUUUCACUGCUUGCCUAUUUUGAAGGAGGAAUUUACGUCAUCCCAUCCCAAAAGAAAUGAAGUUACCGAUUAUGUUGUCGUGAUGGGGGUCAUUUACAGUAUGGUCAAGCAAGACUAUAUGAUGCAGGAGAGGAUCGUCUCUGCUCUUAAUCUCAAAUCAUCUUCAGGAGAAUUAGAGAGCUACUGCCUGAUGUGGUCUUUGCGUCCGUUCAUAAAUAACGAAAUUAUGGAUUAUGCUUGGAAACUUAUUCCCUGAAUGUUGCGGGAAUCUGAAUGCCAAGGUUUGCUUACUGUCAGAUUGUCCAAAAGUCCAAAAGCCCAAAAUUAUUUUUGGGAUUCCCGAUUUGUCCCGAAAUCCCGAAACUAUUUCGGGAUUCCCGAAAAUUGGGAUUUCCGAAAAUUUGGUUUGGGAUCGGUAUUGAAAUUGGGAUUCCCGAAAAUUUCGGUAUGGGAAUCGGAACAAGGGUUUCGGUAUGGGAUCCCAUACCGAACCACCCCUAGUAGGAGAUAUAGAAAUGGGCAGACAAAAUGGACUAGUGGAAGAAUAAAAGAAAAAAAAAAGAGACUGACACGGGAGUGGAGGAGGAGAGUCCACGGGCAGAACAAAAGCAAAGUGAUAGGAGGACUGAAGAAAGGAAGAAGGGAAUAAAAGCAGAAGGGAAGACAGGCAACAGGGGGGUCUUGGAGCGGGAGAAAGGGGCUGCCCUUUGGGCAGCUCGCAGAGACGCAGGAACGAGAGAGCAGCAAGAAGCUGCGUGAAGAGAGAAGUCAGAAGGCAGCCUUGCUGCCAAGAAGAAUAAAAAAAAAGGAAAUAAAAAAAUAGCAACCAGGGGGAUUGGUGGAAGGCAGAGAGCUGCAUUUGGGCAGCGUGAGAAGGCGAGAGGAGAGAGGUCAGGCGGAAAUAAAAUAAGAAAAUAGGAAGGACAGGAGGACAGGCGCAAAAAAGGAAA